RNAcentral lists this long non-coding RNA (685 nucleotides) under Citrus sinensis (sweet orange). RNAcentral describes it as "long non-coding RNA (CSIN_LNC000148)". Lineage: Eukaryota; Viridiplantae; Streptophyta; Magnoliopsida; Sapindales; Rutaceae. The record is from RNAcentral.
UAAAUAAGAGAUUAUUGAGUCAUUUAGGGUCUAUGUUGAGUUUUGUCUGGUAUUAGGAACUAUUAGGAGCUUUGGGAGAGAUUGACCUACCUCUCGAAUUGUAAGUCAGGAUUGAUUGUUUGUUUUCUUUUGAUUUAAUCAAUAAAAGUCAGCCCUAAUUUAGCCCUAAGUCCUAUCAAAGUGGUAUCAGAGCAAGAAUCCUGAGACAAUGGCAGCAACGAAAGUGGACGUGCUUGAAGAAAAAUUGGAAGCGGAGAUUGGAUUGCUCAAGGCCACCAUUGACGAGCGAUUUAAUAGCGUUCAACAAAAAUUUUCAUCCCUUGAAGCCAUGUUGCUGAAAUUAAUAGAACUCCACCUCAACCCACCACUGGCAAUAUCAACAGGCCAAGGCAGUGUGGCGGGAGAAGGAUAUGACGACACGAAACCCGUGCUCGGUGACGGCACAAAGGGUGGAGGGCCAAAAACCACCAGUCUUACUCAGCUAGGGGUAAGAGUUCACGGCGAGAGAUUGGAUUGCUCAAGGCCACCAUUAAUGAGCAAUUUAAUAACGUUCAACAAAAAUUUUCAUCCCUUGAAGCCAUGUUGCUGAAAUUAAUAGAACUCCACCUCAACCCACCACUGGCAGUAUCAACAGGCCAAGGCAGUGUGGCGGGAGAAGGAACUGGCGACACGAAACCCGUGCUCG